UGUUUGUUCUUAUGGCACAUCCUUCUUUUGUAAAUAGGGAUCUGGCUGAUCCAUUAUGAUGCAGAUCCACAGGAAUUAGCAGUAAAUUUUGGAAUAGGUUCCCUUUUGCAGACAAUCCUGCCCCUUAACAAUGCAAAAGUCCUGCCAAUAUCCAUGUGUUCUUUCAAUUUCUAACAUUUUAAAGUGAUAUUUUUAAAGAUUACAGGACACUCCUUGGCCCUCUUUCAAUGUUUGGAAAGAGGAAAAAAACUGAAAUUGUGCAUGCGCAUGUAGGAAAAGGGGGGAAAGCAUUUCAAGCAGAGGCUUUCUUUAGGAUAUGGAUUGCAUAAAUUUAGUCCCAAGUCAUUCAGGGCCAAUUAUUACCUCAGCCCAGCUGUGCUCCGGACAUUCAUCGGAGCAUCUGUUUUAUUAACUGGGACUGUGAGAGACUGAAUCUUUUUUUAAUCUGCCUUAGAACUAAAGUGUAAAGUCAGUUCUUUGUAUUUUAAGCUUUAACUUGUUAACAUAUUUGUUGGCUUUUGAAGAUAAGGCUCCUUUUGAUGUUGGAUUUAGUGUGUCACAAAAUGGAUACAUUCAUGACUUGUGAUCUGAAUUCUGCAUUGAGUUGUGAACCAUGUGUCAACAGUCCAGAAAACUUUUGUUACAUUUAUGGGGAAUUUGUGAUCCAGAAACAUCAAAGAAAUGUAACAUCUUUUAUUAGAAAAGUGUACCAUGCCUACUUUGGAGUCAAACCGUGAAGCCAAACCAUAUACUUCACACAAAGUUUGUUUUAUGUGCAUAUUUAAGGAAGUGGUCUACAGGCAAAAAGCAUUCAGAUUUUGUGUGCCAAAGACAUGGAAGGAGCCAAAACAUCAACUGCUCUUGAGAUGUUAAAGGUGAUUCACUUUUUUAAAAAGAAGAUAGUUUUCUAUCAAAAUCUUCUAUCUGGCUGACAGUUUGUCAUGACCCAGAAAUUCUAGUUCUGCUUUUAUCGGAAACACUGGAAGAUUUCCCCAGUAAUUCUGAUCCUAAUAUUUGAGCAUGAUAUAGAAAGUCAAGACAGCUAUUUAUUCAUCUUAUCAGCAAGAGAUUUGGAUUUUGCUAAACUCUUACUCUUCAUCUUUAAAAAUUACUGGAACAUAAAUAUAUAUUUGUACAUCCCAAAGAAAGUUAUGAGAAUUUGGAAUUGGUUCUCACAAACAUAAAAAUAAAAUGCUUCUGGAACAUGGCCAUACAAUCCGGAAAACUCUCAUAAGUAUUAUGACUGUAUUGGCAUAUUAUUAAGGUGCAUACUUUUGGUGCAACAGAGUAA
RNAcentral lists this long non-coding RNA (1291 nucleotides) under Anolis carolinensis (green anole). RNAcentral's name for it is "lncRNA (ENSACAG00000032725.2)". The record is from RNAcentral. Lineage: Eukaryota; Metazoa; Chordata; Lepidosauria; Squamata; Anolidae.